GGGAAAUUGUUCCUUCAGUUUAUUUAAUUUACAAUCAUUGUCCUUCUAUGUUCUGCAUUUUAUUUAUUUAUUUAUUUUCAGUAGUAUAGCAUGUGGUACAAUGGAUAAGCGUGUUCAAGGUCUUUCUGACACGGCUAUGUUAUGUUAUUAAAUCCUAGCAGUUGUUAUUCCUCUUUUGAUGGAUGUACUAUGUGUAUUUGUAAGCAGGGCAGGUGAUGGAGCUAUAAUCAGAACAUUUAUCCCAUUCCACCUAGUUAAUAGCACCAGCAAUGCCCUAAAAUGAAGUGUUCCCUUUUGUGACUUUGUCAUUUAGGUUUUUGAUUGACAUAUUCUAAUUACCAAAACAUGUUGUCCAUUGUGGUUGUAACAAAUGGGUGAUGUGUUUUAUACUUUCUUGUCAAAGAUCUGUCAACUGCAAUGUUACAUUUUUAUUUUGUUGGGUUAAAUUAAAAUUGUUUGUUAAUUUAUUAAGAUGUGAUAUGGACAAUACUUGCACAUUUUACCAAAAACAAAUCACACUGUCUUUGUCCUCGGGGCCCACGAACACGUCAAUUGGCCUGUUAUCAAGACUGCUGAGCUUUA
Molecule: non-coding RNA, 582 nt
Organism: Pelobates cultripes (western spadefoot toad)
Lineage: Eukaryota; Metazoa; Chordata; Amphibia; Anura; Pelobatidae
Source: the annotation of a GenBank genome assembly